UAAUACAGAGGGUGCGAGCGUUAAUCGGAAUUACUGGGCGUAAAGGGCGCGUAGGCGGUUUAAUAAGUUGGUUGUGAAAUCCCUGGGCUUAACCUAGGAACUGCAACCAAGACUGUUGAACUGGAGUGCGGUAGAGGGUAGUGGAAUUUCCGGUGUAGCGGUGAAAUGCGUAGAUAUCGGAAGGAACACCAGUGGCGAAGGCGACUACCUGGACUGACACUGACGCUGAGGCGCGAGAGCGUGGGGAGCAAACAGGAUUAGAUACCCUGGUAGUCCACGCUGUAAACGAUGAGAACUAGAUGUUGGAAGGCUUGGACCUUUUAGUAUCGAAGCUAACGCGAUAAGUUCUCCGCCUGGGGAGUACGGCCGCAAGGUUA
RNAcentral lists this ribosomal RNA (377 nucleotides) under uncultured bacterium. RNAcentral describes it as "bacterial SSU rRNA". It matches the Rfam family "Bacterial small subunit ribosomal RNA", at positions 521 to 896 of the family's 1533-position model. The record is from RNAcentral.